CCCCUUCCGUCCGGCGGCCGGGCGCCCUAUAUUCCUCGGCGUCGGAGAUAUCCGGCUAUGGUGAUAAACGGCCGCUGUAAUAAACCCUUCGGACCCGGGGGCAGUACCCGGCGCCUCCACCCAAGCCCUUGAUAUUAAGGGUUUCGGCGGGGGCGAAACAGGAUCGACGGGGGCGUAAAGAGCGGGCUUUUGCCCGGCAUGGCUCCACCGUUAUCGGGCCAUUCUAUAGUUGCCAACGACAACUAUGCUCCGGUUGCUCUGGCCGCGUGAGCGGUCCGGGAAACCGAACCUAAAGUCCUGAUGGUCUAGCAGCUAUUGGGCGGGGCCCGGAGGCGCCUGGCAACAGAAGCCUCCACU
RNAcentral lists this transfer-messenger RNA (357 nucleotides) under Hansschlegelia quercus. RNAcentral's name for it is "Alphaproteobacteria transfer-messenger RNA". It matches the Rfam family "Alphaproteobacteria transfer-messenger RNA". From Rfam's summary of the family: Bacterial tmRNA, also known as 10Sa RNA or SsrA, is named for its dual tRNA and mRNA-like properties. Its role is to liberate the mRNA from a stalled ribosome. The record is from Rfam by way of RNAcentral. Lineage: Bacteria; Pseudomonadati; Pseudomonadota; Alphaproteobacteria; Hyphomicrobiales; Methylopilaceae.